This 270-nucleotide ribosomal RNA is filed under the name Lithobius maqinensis. RNAcentral describes it as "partial 28S ribosomal RNA". It matches the Rfam family "Eukaryotic large subunit ribosomal RNA", at positions 72 to 327 of the family's 3401-position model. Lineage: Eukaryota; Metazoa; Arthropoda; Chilopoda; Lithobiomorpha; Lithobiidae. The record is from RNAcentral.
GGAUUCCCCUAGUAACGGCGAGUGAACGGGGAAGAGCCCAGCGCCGAAGCCCCCGUCCCCAGAGGGCGGCGGGCAAUGUGGCGUUUGGGAGGAGCCAUCCCUCUGGUUCGCGGGAGCCCAAGUCCCCCUGACCGGGGCCACUGCCCAAGGCGGGUGCAAGGCCCGUGCGGCUCUUUCAGCGGCCGGAGGACGGUUCUCUCCCUGGAGUCGGGUUGCUUGGGAGUGCAGCCCUAAGCGGGUGGUAAACUCCACCUAAGGCUAAAUACUUCC